CCAGACCUUUCAGAGCCACUGACACGCCGGCAGCACAAUGAGGAUGUCACUGACUCUACUGCUGGCCACCCUGGGGCUCCUUGUUCAGGAUUCAUCAGGAGAAAUCAUCCUGACUCAGUCUCCUAAAGCUCAGUCUGUUGUUCCAGGACAGACUGUCUCUAUCAGAUGUAAAGCCAGUUCAAGUAUGGGCAGCUACCUUCACUGGUACCUUCAGAAACCUGGAGAAUCUCCCAAACUUUUGAUUCAUUAUGCCACAACUCGUCAGUCUGGAGUUUCAAAUCGUUUCAGUGGGAGUGGAUCUGGAACUGACUUCACUUUGACCAUCAGUACAGUUCAGAUUGAGGAUGCAGGAGUUUACUAUUGUCUACAGAGUGGUCACAGUUUCCCGUUCACACAGUGAUACAACGUCGUACAAAAACCUCCCUCAGCUGGAGAGGAACUGAUCUGAAUCAACAGCUGCACAGAAAUACAGACACUUUAGACAUUUAACAGACAGUGAAGUCCAUAUAACAGAAGACCAUCAGUAAAUAUGAUGUAUAGCGUAGUAAGUCCUAAUGGUAACCUUGUUGAAAUAGAGUAGGAAAUAAGUUUGAUACAUCCAUUGUAGAUUAGUUGAAAGGUAGAUGAGUUAUUACAGAUAACAAGACAUUAACACUUUUUGUCAUUUGCUUUGAAAUAGAAAAUUUACUUUCAAGUUUUUUAAAGUAGUUUAGAUGUCCUUUUAAUUUCAUAUUAUUCAUAUUUAAGUCAGAGUUUAGUUUUCAACAAACGUAAACACACUACAUAUUUUAAAGACCUU
Molecule: non-coding RNA, 799 nt
Organism: Dicentrarchus labrax (European seabass)
Lineage: Eukaryota; Metazoa; Chordata; Actinopteri; Moronidae
Source: the annotation of a RefSeq genome assembly